UUUUUAAUACUGCAGGGAAGUGAGAAUAUCAGGGCAGUUUGAGACAGUGCAGCGUUGGUCAGAUCACUGGAUUGUGAGUUCUCAGUGUUGCCGAGGGAGCCAGAAAGAACAUGACCUCAGGUCUGGAUUGUAGUGCACAAACGAAGCUGAAGAUUGCUGAACAGCCAAACAGGCUGGCCUCAAGUGACCUCCUGCCUCGGCCUCCCCCAA
Molecule: long non-coding RNA, 210 nt
Organism: Macaca mulatta (Rhesus monkey)
Lineage: Eukaryota; Metazoa; Chordata; Mammalia; Primates; Cercopithecidae
Source: RefSeq, a predicted model, not a curated record